Neofelis nebulosa (Clouded leopard) is the source of this 315-nucleotide long non-coding RNA. RefSeq lists it as uncharacterized. The record is from RefSeq and is a predicted model, not a curated record. The transcript is spliced from 3 exons. NCBI's taxonomy places the organism in Eukaryota, Metazoa, Chordata, Mammalia, Carnivora, Felidae.
UGUCCAGCACCUCCAGCGGGGAGAUCUCGGGUGCCGGCGUGUUGGGGCUGAAGGACGACGAGGGGAAGGGAGAGGAGAGCCACUUCUGCCGGGAGAAAGAGCAGCGGGGAGGCGAGGAAACGGAGCACAGAGAAGUUCUCUAACUUACCAAACAUCACCCAGCCAAGAAGGGGCGGAGCCGGGAUUAGAACCCACUCCUCCUUCAGAUUUCAAGGGACCCAUCACUUCCUUGGAGAAGCUUCUGCCAGCCACCCCUCAGCCAAGGUUCCUCUCCCUGUUGUCUGUUUCCAACACAUCGAACAUCUUCCUUUGCCA